This 253-nucleotide ribosomal RNA is filed under the name uncultured bacterium. Its description in RNAcentral is "partial 16S ribosomal RNA". It matches the Rfam family "Bacterial small subunit ribosomal RNA", at positions 524 to 776 of the family's 1533-position model. The record is from RNAcentral.
UACGUAGGGCGCAAGCGUUGUCCGGAAUUAUUGGGCGUAAAGAGCUCGUAGGCGGUCUGUUACGUCCGCUGUGAAAACCCAGGGCUUAACCCUGGGCUUGCAGUGGAUACGGGUAGACUAGAGGCAGGUAGGGGAGAAUGGAAUUCCCGGUGUAGCGGUGAAAUGCUCAGAUAUCGGGAGGAACACCGGUGGCGAAGGCGGUUCUCUGGGCCUGACCUGACGCUGAGGAGCGAAAGCGUGGGGAGCGAACAGG